GACGAACGCUGGCGGCGUGCUUAACACAUGCAAGUCGAACGGAAAGGCCUGCUUUCCCUUGUGGAUUGCGGGUACUCGAGUGGCGAACGGGUGAGUAACACGUGAGUGAUCUGCCCCCAACUUGGGUAUAAGCCUGGGAAACUGGGUCUAAUUCCCGAUAGGACUGCAGGGUGGUGCCUGUGGUGGAAAACGAUUUUCUAGUGGUUGCGGAUGAGCUCGUGGCCUAUCAGCUUGUUGGUGGGGUAAUGGCCUACCAAGGCGGCGACGGGUAGCCGGCGUGAGAGGAUGGACGGUGACAUUGAGACAGAGACACGACCCAGACUCCUAGGGGAGGCAGCGGUGGGGAAUCUAGGACAAUGGGCGGAAGCCUGAUGCAGCGACGCCGCGUGGGGGAUGACGGCGUUCGGGUUGUAUACUCCUUUCGACCGCGAGGAGGCCGCCUGGUUGGAAGGGUGGUGACGGUAGUGGUAGAAGAAGCACCGGCUAACUACGUG
This 494-nucleotide ribosomal RNA is filed under the name uncultured bacterium. Its description in RNAcentral is "partial 16S ribosomal RNA". It matches the Rfam family "Bacterial small subunit ribosomal RNA", at positions 28 to 507 of the family's 1533-position model. The record is from RNAcentral.